GACGAACGCUGGCGGCGUGCUUAACACAUGCAAGUCGAACGAAGAGCGAUGGAAGCUUGCUUCUAUCAAUCUUAGUGGCGAACGGGUGAGUAACGCGUAAUCAACCUGCCCUUCAGAGGGGGACAACAGUUGGAAACGACUGCUAAUACCGCAUACGAUCUGACCUCGGCAUCGAGGAUAGAUGAAAGGUGGCCUCUAUUUAUAAGCUAUCACUGAAGGAGGGGAUUGCGUCUGAUUAGCUAGUUGGAGGGGUAACGGCCCACCAAGGCGAUGAUCAGUAGCCGGUCUGAGAGGAUGAACGGCCACAUUGGGACUGAGACACGGCCCAGACUCCUACGGGAGGCAGCAGUGGGGAAUCUUCCGCAAUGGACGAAAGUCUGACGGAGCAACGCCGCGGGAGUGAUGACGGCCUUCGGGUUGUAAAGCUCUGUUAAUCGGGACGAAAGGCCUUCUUGCGAAUAGUUAGAAGGAUUGACGGUACCGGAAUAGAAAGCCACGGCUAACUACGUG
RNAcentral lists this ribosomal RNA (510 nucleotides) under uncultured bacterium. Its description in RNAcentral is "partial 16S ribosomal RNA". It matches the Rfam family "Bacterial small subunit ribosomal RNA", at positions 28 to 507 of the family's 1533-position model. The record is from RNAcentral.